This 75-nucleotide transfer RNA is filed under the name Microseira wollei NIES-4236. Its description in RNAcentral is "tRNA-Pro". It matches the Rfam family "tRNA". From Rfam's summary of the family: Transfer RNA (tRNA) molecules are approximately 80 nucleotides in length. Their secondary structure includes four short double-helical elements and three loops (D, anti-codon, and T loops). Further hydrogen bonds mediate the characteristic L-shaped molecular structure. tRNAs have two regions of fundamental functional importance: the anti-codon, which is responsible for specific mRNA codon recognition, and the 3' end, to which the tRNAs corresponding amino acid is attached (by aminoacyl-tRNA synthetases). tRNAs cope with the degeneracy of the genetic code in two manners: having more than one tRNA (with a specific anti-codon) for a particular amino acid; and 'wobble' base-pairing, i.e. permitting non-standard base-pairing at the 3rd anti-codon position. The record is from RNAcentral. Lineage: Bacteria; Bacillati; Cyanobacteriota; Cyanophyceae; Aerosakkonematales; Aerosakkonemataceae.
UCUGGGUGUGGCGCAGUUGGGAGCGCGGGAGUUUCGGGUACUCCAGGUCGCUGGUUCAAUCCCAGCCACUCAGAU